AUAAAAAACCAACGCCCUUCGGGGCUCCUUGGUGAAUCAUAAUAACUAAGCGAAUCGCACGGCCUUGCGCCGGCGAUGGUUCAUUCAAAUUUCUGCCCUAUCAACUUUCGAUGGUAAGAUAGUGGCUUACCAUGGUGGCAACGGGUAACGGGGAAUUAGGGUUCGAUUCCGGAGAGGGAGCCUGAGAAACGGCUACCACAUCCAAGGAAGGCAGCAGGCGCGCAAAUUACCCAAUCCCGGCACGGGGAGGUAGUGACAAUAAAUACUGAUACGGGGCUCUUUUGGGUCUCGUAAUUGGAAUGAGUACAAUCUAAAUCCCUUAACGAGGAACAAUUGGAGGGCAAGUCUGGUGCCAGCAGCCGCGGUAAUUCCAGCUCCAAUAGCGUAUAUUAAAGUUGUUGCAGUUAAAAAGCUCGUAGUUGAACCUUGGGUCUGGCUGACCGGUCCGCCUCACCGCGAGUACUGGUUCGGCUGGGCCUUUCCUUCUGGGGAACCUCAUGGCCUUCACUGGCUGUGG
This 517-nucleotide ribosomal RNA is filed under the name uncultured fungus. RNAcentral describes it as "SSU rRNA". It matches the Rfam family "Eukaryotic small subunit ribosomal RNA", at positions 214 to 731 of the family's 1831-position model. Lineage: Eukaryota; Fungi. The record is from RNAcentral.